CAUUACAGUUUGCUUUCUUUCAUCAUCUUUCAUGUUGAAAAUUCUUCUGUACACUUAUUUUUAAAUGUUUUUUAUCAAAACUUUCAGACGCUUCCUGCUUCGACAUAAAAUUGUGGCAUCGAGAAACAAAGCUUUAGAGCAGAUAUUCAAACCUCCAUUUAGUCACAUGGACCAUUGUGGCCCGUAUAUUCUCCAAGUUGCGAAGAAUGAAGCUUUACAACUCCCGCAGAUAAGGAAAUGGAAGGAAAUGAGUCUCAUUCGCCAAGAGAUAAAAGUAGAGAUUUUCCGCAGAAACAUCUGUGUAAAAUAAACAUGCAGCACUU
Molecule: long non-coding RNA, 323 nt
Organism: Magallana angulata
Lineage: Eukaryota; Metazoa; Mollusca; Bivalvia; Ostreida; Ostreidae
Exons: 3
Source: RefSeq, a predicted model, not a curated record